UUACACACGGAGACAGCCUUUGGUUUGUCUCAGCAGAGCGCUUGGGAAGGUCUGAGAAGGCCGAUUUCCCUCGGUGGGAAUGCCACGAAAGUUACUGCUUGAGGACCAGCAAUGUGCCUCUUGAGGGCAAGCAGAAGAUCUCAGGACCAGGUGGUACUGGGUGAUGCGUUACAGCCCUCAGGUUGGUUGGAACAACUCAAGAGGCCCAAAUCAUCGAAGUUCAAUACACAAGGUGGCUACCAGCCAUA
This 248-nucleotide RNase P RNA is filed under the name Filamoeba sp. MMM-2004b. Its description in RNAcentral is "Nuclear RNase P". It matches the Rfam family "Nuclear RNase P", at positions 25 to 274 of the family's 301-position model. Rfam says of the family: Ribonuclease P (RNase P) is a ubiquitous endoribonuclease, found in archaea, bacteria and eukarya as well as chloroplasts and mitochondria. Its best characterised activity is the generation of mature 5'-ends of tRNAs by cleaving the 5'-leader elements of precursor-tRNAs. Cellular RNase Ps are ribonucleoproteins. Lineage: Eukaryota; Evosea; Variosea. The record is from Rfam by way of RNAcentral.